GAAAUAAGAUUUUAAAUGAGUGCUAAGAGAAUGAUUAAACAAUUAAAAGCUUUCUUUAAUUAAAAAAUUAAAUUUAAUUUUUUAGUGCAAAAGCAAAAAUAAAAUUUAGGGACAAGAAGACCCUAUGAAUUUUUAUUGUUAAUAAUUAAAAUUUAAGUUAUUAAUAAUUUAAUUGGGGCGAUAAAAAAAGAAUAAGUAUCUUUUUAGUUAUAAAAUAAGUUCCGUUUUUAGCGAUCAAAUGAAAUAAAUACUCUAGGGAUAACAGCGUAAUAAUUUUGGAUAGUUCAUAUAGAUAAAAUAGUUUGCGACCUCGAUGUUGGAUUAGGAUUCUU
Molecule: ribosomal RNA, 332 nt
Filed under: Ixodes scapularis (black-legged tick)
Lineage: Eukaryota; Metazoa; Arthropoda; Arachnida; Ixodida; Ixodidae
Description: partial 16S ribosomal RNA
Source: RNAcentral